Molecule: non-coding RNA, 778 nt
Organism: Equus caballus (horse)
Lineage: Eukaryota; Metazoa; Chordata; Mammalia; Perissodactyla; Equidae
Source: RefSeq, a predicted model, not a curated record
CUCAAAAUCCAUGGUCCUAGAAGACUUAUGGCCAAGAGUGUUUUCCAUGAGCAUCGCUUCAAGAGAAGUGCAUGAUGUUGUCUUACAACGUCCACUACCUUCAAGAGGAUAAAACCUCCACAGGGAGAGACUAUGGGGAGGCAAGAUUCCCGUUUGCUGAGAGUGAAGGAGAUGCACACAGAUUUGGAGACAGAAGAUGGAAAAAGCAGGAAAGAUGUGUAUAACAAAAACUGCAUGGAGUUAGAGUUAAUUAGAGGCCUCUUGUCUCAUGCCCUGUCUGCGAUGCCCGUGGACACAUACGUACUCCAUAAUAACUGCAUGCUUCACCAGAUCUGACCCAGAGGUGCUGGAGACAAGGAACAGAUACACUUUGCUGGCAAGGAUACAAGAAGUUGGCCGUCUACAAGCCAGAAGAGCGUCCUCACCAGAAUCUGACCGUGCUCGCACCCGAUCUCAGACUUCCAGCCUCCAGAACUGUGAGAAAUAAAUUUCUAUUGGUUAUAAGCCACCCAGUCUCUGAUACUUUAUUAUAGCAAUCUGAACCGACUAAGGCAGCUCCCGCUGUUUAUGGAUUAAAUACCUCAUCCUUACCCCUCCGCAAUACAGUCACAGCUUUCUGUUCCAAUUUUAUCAGUCUUUACAGCAUAUUAUUUCCUCCCCACUUCAUCUGGCAAGUCUCCUCCCUCUCAAUGAAAUGUGUCAUAUACCCUUAGUUUUCAGUUCUGUCUUUUGAAUAAUAUUCAUCUUGUUUUUUGUUUAAUCCUAAUAAUUGAACAUC